CUACGUGCCAGCAGCCGCGGUAAUACGUAGGUCCCGAGCGUUGUCCGGAUUUAUUGGGCGUAAAGCGAGCGCAGGCGGUUAGAUAAGUCUGAAGUUAAAGGCUGUGGCUUAACCAUAGUACGCUUUGGAAACUGUUUGACUUGAGUGCAAGAGGGGAGAGUGGAAUUCCAUGUGUAGCGGUGAAAUGCGUAGAUAUAUGGAGGAACACCGGUGGCGAAAGCGGCUCUCUGGCUUGUAACUGACGCUGAGGCUCGAAAGCGUGGGGAGCAAACAGGAUUAGAUACCCUGGUAGUCCACGCCGUAAACGAUGUCGACUUGGAGGUUGUGCCCUUGAGGCGUGGCUUCCGGAGCUAACGCGUUAAGUCGACCGCCUGGGGAGUACGGCCGCAAGGUUAAAACUCAAAUGAAUUGACGGGGGCCCGCACAAGCGGUGGAGCAUGUGGUUUAAUUCGAUGCAACGCGAAGAACCUUACCUACUCUUGACAUCCAGA
This 491-nucleotide ribosomal RNA is filed under the name uncultured bacterium. RNAcentral describes it as "bacterial SSU rRNA". It matches the Rfam family "Bacterial small subunit ribosomal RNA", at positions 501 to 992 of the family's 1533-position model. The record is from RNAcentral.